UGCCUUCGGGGCGCGGAUGAGUAGCCCCGUGCUUUGGGACUGUUCCGAAACUUCGUAGUCCCUCCCGGGCCCGCUCUCCACGACGCUUGGGCCUGCGCACGCGAGGUGCCACGGAUCCGGAGCAGACGUCGCGGGUGAGCGCGCGACCUCGGCUGGAAGCGGCCGCACGGCUCGUGAGUUUAUCAUCAGCUACCGCUGCGAGCCCACCCGGAACGGCGGAGUCCUGGAAGACUGUCCUUUGGCCAUGUCACAGAAUGGACACCUUGACGACCCCAGUGAGUACUUCUCAGCUGCAACUCAGGGAUACUUGAAGAAUGAGGUGGAUGAUACCCUUGAAGUCCGGGAAGACAGCCUGGGGGAUGAGGCCUUCGACACCGUCAACUCCUCCAUUGUGUCUGGCGAGAGCAUCCGGUUUUUUGUCAACGUCAACCUUGAUGUACAGCCCUCCAAAUCUGACAUUGAAGCAGCAACCGGUGGCUGUGUGCUCCUCCACACCUCCCGCAAGUAUCUGAAGUUAAAGAACUUCGAGGAAGAGGUCCGUGCGCACCGGGACCUAGACGGCUUCCUGGCCCAGGCCAGCAUCAUCCUGAACGAGACAGCUACCUCGCUGGAUGACGUGCUUCGGACUAUGCUGAGCCGCUUCGCCCAGGACCCCAACCAUGCAGAACCCGACUGUGACCUGGACCUGCUCAUGGACAAGCUCUUUACAGAUGCUGGGGCCCCCACGGAGAGCAAAGUCCACCUGCUCUCGGAUACCAUCCAGGGAGUCACCGCCACAGUCCGAGGGGUGCAGUACCAGCAGUCAUGGCUCUGCAUCGUCUGUACCUUGAAGGCCCUACAGAAGCGGCACGUGUGCAUCAGCCGCCUGGUCCGACCCCAGAACUGGGGGGAGAACUCCUGCGAGGUCCGCUUUGUCAUCCUGGUGCUGGCCCCGCCCAAGAUGAAAAGCACCAAGACUGCGAUGGAGGUGGCACGCACAUUUGCCACCAUGUUCUCAGACAUCACCUUCCGCCAGAAGCUCCUGACGACACGCACGGAAGAGGAAUUCAAGGAGGAGUUGGUGCAUCAGAGACAGCUGCUCACCAUGACGAUGCCAAGAGCAACGGGACACAGCAUGAGCUCCCUCCACACUCACAAACACCCUCAGCCUCCGAAGUGCAAGGACUUCUUCCCUUUUGGAAAGGGCAUCUGGGCGGACAUCACGCACCGGUUCCCUGUGUACCCGCUGGACUUCACCGAUGGCAUCAUCGGGAAAGGCAAGACUGUGGGCAAAUAUGUCACCACCACGCUCUUCCUCUACUUCGCCUGCCUCCUGCCGACGAUUGCUUUCGGAUCCCUCAAUGAUGAGAACACGAACGGGGCCAUCGAUGUGCAGAAGACCAUAGCUGGGCAGAGCAUCGGAGGCCUCUUGUAUGCACUCUUCUCUGGGCAGCCGCUGGUGAUCCUGCUGACGACCGCACCCCUGGCCAUCUACAUCCAGGUGAUCCGAGUCAUCUGUGACGACUACAACCUUGACUUCAAUGCCUUCUAUGCAUGGACGGGCCUGUGGAACAGUUUCUUCCUCGCGCUGUACGCCUUCCUCAACCUCAGCCUGCUUAUGAGUCUCUUUAAGAGGUCAACAGAAGAAAUCAUUGCCUUCUUCAUUUCCAUCACGUUUGUUCUGGAUGCUGUCAAGGGCAUGGCCAAAAUCUUCUGGAAGUACUACCAUGGUCACCACUACCACACAAAAAAGACUUCAUCCUUGGCCAGCUUGUUGAGCGUUGGCAGAAGCCCCAACACCAGCCUUCACUCUGGGCUCAACACCAGCCUCCUGCCCAGCCCCGUUGAGAUGGCCACAGCUAGCAGCCCCAGCAGCACACACUCGGGCCAGGCUACGGCCGUGCUCAGUCUCCUUAUCAUGCUGGGCACACUCUGGCUGGGCUACACCCUCUACCAGUUCAAGAAAAGCCCCUACCUGCACCCAUGGGUCCGUGAGACCCUGUCUGACUGUGCCCUGCCCAUCGCGGUGCUCUCCUUCUCCCUCAUCGGCUCCUAUGGCUUCCAGGAAAUUGAGAUGAGCAAGUUCAGAUACAACCCCAGCGAGAGCCUCUUUGAGAUGGCACAGAUCCGCUCUCUGUCCUUCAAGGCCAUUGGCAGCACCAUGGGUCUUGGUUUCCUGCUCUCCUUGCUUUUCUUCAUUGAGCAGAACCUGGUGGCUGCCCUGGUCAAUGCUCCAGAGAACAGGCUGGUGAAGGGCACUGCCUAUCACUGGGACCUCCUGCUCCUGGCCAUCAUCAAUACGGGGCUGUCUCUAUUCGGGCUACCCUGGAUCCACGCCGCCUACCCCCACUCCCCGCUGCAUGUGCGGGCACUGGCCUUAGUGGAGGAACGUGUGGAGAACGGGCACAUUUAUGAAACGAUUGUGAAUGUUAAGGAGACCCGGCUGACUGCGCUGGGCGCCAGUGUCCUGGUAGGGCUCUCUCUCCUGCUGCUGCCCUUCCCACUGCAGUGGAUCCCCAAGCCCGUGCUUUAUGGGCUCUUCCUCUACAUCGCGCUCACCUCCCUGGAUGGCAACCAGCUCUUCUCGCGAGUGGCCCUGCUGCUCAAGGAGCAGGUUGCCGCUGCCCACAGACAUCCUACCCACCCACCCACUACGUCCGGAGAGUGCCCCAGAGGAAGAUCCACUACUUCACAGGCCUGCAGAUCCUGCAGCUGCUGCUGCUCUGUGCCUUUGGCAUGAGCUCCCUGUCCUACAUGAAGAUGGUCUUUCCUGUCAUCAUGAUUGCCAUGAUUCCCAUCCGGUACAAUCUCUUACCCCGAAUCAUUGAAGCGAAGUAUUUGGAUGUCAUGGAUGCUGAGCACAGACCCUGAUGUGUGCCACCUUCCCCCAUGCCUUCAGGCCUGUUCUGUGACAUUGUAAGGGGAGGUGUGAGCUGGCUCAGACCCAGCCCCAUUGCCGCUUAAAGUCCCCGGGGCAUUGUGGUUUUCAGUGGUGUGUGCUCACCGCUCACCCCAUUAACCUUUAGUUUGGGGUCCAGGGACAUUGCCAGCACGGGGCUAAGAAGUGUAGAUUUUCUUUUGAUAAAAGAGUUGAUGCCCAGGAGCGAGCCCAUUUCCUUGAUUGUGUAAGGAAUUCACUGUGCACCAUUAGCGAAUAAAAGUCUU
Microtus oregoni (creeping vole) is the source of this 3144-nucleotide RNA transcript. It is a transcript of the gene named solute carrier family 4 member 11, with no coding region annotated. The transcript is spliced from 20 exons. NCBI's taxonomy places the organism in Eukaryota, Metazoa, Chordata, Mammalia, Rodentia, Cricetidae. The record is from RefSeq and is a predicted model, not a curated record.